AGUUAGCCCUGAGUUAGCCUGCCCUGGAGCAGGUUAGUUCUGAAUGCAGGAUAGUGGAGUUAGCCCUGAGUUAGCCUGCCCUGGAGCAGGUUAGUUCUGAAUGCAGGAUAGUGGAGUUAGCCCUGAGUUAGCCUGCCCUGGAGCAGGUUAGUUCUGAAUGCAGGAUAGUGGAGUUAGCCCUGAGUUAGCCUGCCCUGGAGCAGGUUAGUUCUGAAUGCAGGAUAGUGGAGUUAGCCCUGAGUUAGCCUGCCCUGGAGCAGGUUAGUUCUGAAUGCAGGAUAGUGGAGUUAGCCCUGAGUUAGCCUGCCCUGGAGCAGGUUAGUUCUGAAUGCAGGAUA
Oncorhynchus keta (chum salmon) is the source of this 338-nucleotide long non-coding RNA. RefSeq lists it as uncharacterized. The record is from RefSeq and is a predicted model, not a curated record. Lineage: Eukaryota; Metazoa; Chordata; Actinopteri; Salmoniformes; Salmonidae. The transcript is spliced from 3 exons.